GAGUUCUGUUCUCUGGUUCCUAUUCAAUGGAGUGAAACCGAGAGAAGGAGGAAUCGAGGAAGGGAGUCUUACUCACAAUAAUGAAUUCCUAUUCACAACCAGCUCUUUGGAGACAGUCCCACAGUCUCCUCUCUGUGUGCAUCCCAUUAGAUGCAUCUAGUUUAUUGCUUUAUUUCCAUUGUAGAUGUGCCAUUUUCUUUUUAUUCUUUCUUCGGGAAAGGUAAUGAAAUGAGUUGUUCUUCUUGUUCCAGUUCCUCUACUUCUAGUAGUUCCUGAGGAAAGGAAAUCCGAUCUUAUCAAAUCUCAUCUCCUGCGGGGAAAGCCUUUAGAAAAGACUAAGUUUUCCAGCUAUACGAGAAGGAAAUAAGAGAAAGGGCCAUUCCAUAUAGCUUUCCUUUAAUUCCAUUACCUACUUCUUCCUAUGAAUAGAAUUCCGAGCCUGUACGAACUCUUCC
Molecule: long non-coding RNA, 455 nt
Filed under: Panax ginseng (ginseng)
Lineage: Eukaryota; Viridiplantae; Streptophyta; Magnoliopsida; Apiales; Araliaceae
Description: long non-coding RNA (PGIN_LNC016898)
Source: RNAcentral